This is a non-coding RNA of Pelobates cultripes (western spadefoot toad), 333 nucleotides long. NCBI's taxonomy places the organism in Eukaryota, Metazoa, Chordata, Amphibia, Anura, Pelobatidae. The record is from the annotation of a GenBank genome assembly.
AUUCCAGAUGUUUUGUGUCGUACACACCAUUUUCAGAACCCUGUUGGUCAUUAUAUCAUUAUGUAUGACAGUUUUACUUUGUAUUCUGUUUGCAUAGGCAAAGGUGAAUAGAUCAUACCACAAAAAUACAUAAAUAGGAUGCAUAUCAUUGAAGUGUGUACAUUAUUAAAAAAUAAUGCCAUUGUGCCGUUCUGUAGACACAAUAGAAACCACAAGACAGAAGGUUAACUGGUUUAUAAAUGUCUGCAGAACUCCCGAGGACAGCAUUAUUUUUUCAUAACGUAGACUUCACCACUAUGUAUUUUUUAUAUAUGACGCCUUUUUAAAUAAUUA